AGGACGAACGCUGGCGGCGUGCUUAACACAUGCAAGUGGUGCGACGAACCAGGGCUUGCCCUGGGGCCAAGCCGCGAACGGGUGAGUAACACGUGGGUAACCUGCCCCGAUGACCGGGACAACCCGAGGAAACUCGGGCUAAUACCGGAUGUGGUGCACGGGUUUAAGCCUGUGUACUAAAGGAAGCUUCGGCCUCCGCAUUGGGAGGGGCUCGCGGCCCAUUAGCUUGUUGGUGGGGUAACGGCCCACCAAGGCAACGAUGGGUAGCUGGUCUGAGAGGACGAUCAGCCACACUGGGACUGAGACACGGCCCAGACUCCUACGGGAGGCAGCAGUGGGGAAUCUUGCGCAAUGCGCGAAAGCGUGACGCAGCAACGCCGCGUGGGGGAAGACGGCCUUCGGGUUGUAAACCCCUUUCAGGAGGGACGAAGGUUCACCGGUUAACAGCCGUGUGGAUUGACGGUACCUCCAGAAGAAGCUCCGGCUAACUACGUGCCAGCAGCCGCGGUAAUACGUAGGGAGCAAGCGUUGUCCGGAAUCAUUGGGCGUAAAGCGCGCGUAGGCGGCCCCGUAAGUCCGUUGUGAAAGUCAAAGGCUCAACCUUUGAAAGCCGAUGGAUACUGUGGGGCUAGAGUCCGGAAGAGGCGAGUGGAAUUCCUGGUGUAGCGGUGGAAUGCGCAGAUAUCAGGAGGAACACCAAUAGCGAAGGCAGCUCGCUGGGACGGUACUGACGCUAAGGCGCGAAAGCGUGGGGAGCGAACAGGAUUAGAUACCCUGGUAGUCCACGCCGUAAACGAUGGGCACUAGGUGUGGGGGGUAUCGACUCCUCCCGUGCCGUCGCUAACGCACUAAGUGCCCCGCCCUGGGGAGUACGGCCGCGAGGCUAA
Molecule: ribosomal RNA, 887 nt
Filed under: uncultured bacterium
Lineage: Bacteria
Description: bacterial SSU rRNA
Rfam family: Bacterial small subunit ribosomal RNA
Source: RNAcentral